AGAGUUUGAUCCUGGCUCAGAACGAACGCUGGCGGCAGGCUUAACACAUGCAAGUCGAACGCAUCCUUCGGGGUGAGUGGCAGACGGGUGAGUAACGCGUGGGAACGUGCCCUUCAGUUCGGAAUAACCCAGGGAAACUUGGGCUAAUACCGGAUACGUGCGAGAGCAGAAAGAUUUAUCGCUGAAGGAUCGGCCCGCGUCUGAUUAGCUAGUUGGUGAGGUAAUGGCUCACCAAGGCGACGAUCAGUAGCUGGUCUGAGAGGAUGAUCAGCCACAUUGGGACUGAGACACGGCCCAAACUCCUACGGGAGGCAGCAGUGGGGAAUAUUGGACAAUGGGCGCAAGCCUGAUCCAGCCAUGCCGCGUGAGUGAUGAAGGCCUUAGGGUUGUAAAGCUCUUUCGUCCGGGACGAUAAUGACGGUACCGGAAGAAGAAGCCCCGGCUAACUUCGUGCCAGCAGCCGCGGUAAUACGAAGGGGGCUAGCGUUGUUCGGAAUCACUGGGCGUAAAGGGCGCGUAGGCGGCUUGAUAAGUCGGGGGUGAAAGCCUGUGGCUCAACCACAGAAUUGCCUUCGAUACUGUCUGGCUUGAGACCGGAAGAGGUAAGUGGAACUGCGAGUGUAGAGGUGACAUUCGUAGAUAUUCGCAAGAACACCAGUGGCGAAGGCGGCUUACUGGUCCGGUUCUGACGCUGAGGCGCGAAAGCGUGGGGAGCAAACAGGAUUAGAUACCCUAGUAGUCC
This 742-nucleotide ribosomal RNA is filed under the name uncultured bacterium. RNAcentral's name for it is "bacterial SSU rRNA". It matches the Rfam family "Bacterial small subunit ribosomal RNA", at positions 8 to 796 of the family's 1533-position model. The record is from RNAcentral.